GGGCAAGCCUACAAUGAGGCUGGU
This 24-nucleotide non-coding RNA is filed under the name Arabidopsis thaliana (thale cress). The record is from RNAcentral. Lineage: Eukaryota; Viridiplantae; Streptophyta; Magnoliopsida; Brassicales; Brassicaceae.